This 492-nucleotide ribosomal RNA is filed under the name uncultured bacterium. RNAcentral describes it as "partial 16S ribosomal RNA". It matches the Rfam family "Bacterial small subunit ribosomal RNA", at positions 29 to 507 of the family's 1533-position model. The record is from RNAcentral.
AGUGAACGCUGGCGGUAGGCCUAACACAUGCAAGUCGAACGGCAGCACAGUAAGAGCUUGCUCUUACGGGUGGCGAGUGGCGGACGGGUGAGGCAUACAUCGGAAUCUACUUUUUCGUGGGGGAUAACGUAGGGAAACUUACGCUAAUACCGCAUACGACCUACGGGUGAAAUCAGGGGAUCUUCGGACCUUGCGCGAUUGAAUGAGCCGAUGUCGGAUUAGCUAGUUGGCGGGGUAAAGGCCCACCAAGGCGACGAUCCGCAGCUGGUCUGAGAGGAUGAUCAGCCACACUGGAACUGAGACACGGUCCAGACUCCUACGGGAGGCAGCAGUGGGGAAUAUUGGACAAUGGGCGCAAGCCUGAUCCAGCCAUACCGCGUGGGUGAAGAAGGCCUUCGGGUUGUAAAGCCCUUUUGUUGGGAAAGAAAAGCAGCAGGUUAAUACCCCGCUGUUCUGACGGUACCCAAAGAAUAAGCACCGGCUAACUUCGUG